UAAUACAUGCAAGUCGAACGAGACCUUCGGGUCUAGUGGCGCACGGGUGCGUAACGCGUGGGAAUCUGCCCCUUGGUUCGGAAUAACAGUUAGAAAUGACUGCUAAUACCGGAUGAUGACGUAAGUCCAAAGAUUUAUCGCCAUGGGAUGAGCCCGCGUAGGAUUAGCUAGUUGGUGUGGUAAAGGCGCACCAAGCCUACGAUCCUUAGCUGGUCUGAGAGGAUGAUCAGCCACACUGGGACUGAGACACGGCCCAGACUCCUACGGGAGGCAGCAGUGGGGAAUAUUGCACAAUGGGCGCAAGCCUGAUGCAGCGACGCCGCGUGGGGG
Molecule: ribosomal RNA, 330 nt
Filed under: uncultured Isochrysis
Lineage: Eukaryota; Haptophyta; Isochrysidales
Description: partial Bacterial small subunit ribosomal RNA
Rfam family: Bacterial small subunit ribosomal RNA
Source: RNAcentral